CUAAAGGGCAUUUGGGGACUUAUGAUUUAUAUUAUAAUUGCAUUCCUGAUAUUUCUCACACUUGCCUUUAAGAUUUAUAAUGUAGAUAAUGAUUAAUAGCAUUGCUUACACACAUUUUCAUAAAUGGGCUGUUAGGUUUUAUUUAUUUUUAUUGUACGUUUCCUUGCACAUUUGUGUUUGAUAUUGUAUUUACUUAUAUAAGUCGUUUGCCUGUAGUCUUUUCAGUAUAUAGUCUGUAAGAUAUAGAUGCUGUGUCUCCUUUAAUUUAGUGAGAUCUACCUUUCUGCUGUCAGUGGACUAGAUUAAAUGAGUGUGUCUUCUAAAAUUUGUACCAUUAUUUAAAUAGGAUAUUAAUUUUUAUUGACAAAUGCUAGGCACCAGCAGUUUUAUGUAGCCCAUAGUUUUAGUGUGAACAGCCAGAAUCCUCUAGUGUACAGUUUGACGAGUUUCAUCUCACCUAUUUA
RNAcentral lists this long non-coding RNA (464 nucleotides) under Bos taurus (domestic cattle). RNAcentral's name for it is "long non-coding RNA NONBTAT013457". Lineage: Eukaryota; Metazoa; Chordata; Mammalia; Artiodactyla; Bovidae. The record is from RNAcentral.